Molecule: ribosomal RNA, 608 nt
Filed under: uncultured bacterium
Lineage: Bacteria
Description: bacterial SSU rRNA
Rfam family: Bacterial small subunit ribosomal RNA
Source: RNAcentral
CCUACGGGAGGCAGCAGUGAGGAAUAUUGGACAAUGGGCGCAAGCCUGAUCCAGCCAUGCCGCGUGCAGGAAGAAGCAUCUAUGGUGUGUAAACUGCUUUUGUACAGGAAGAAACACUCCCUCGUGAGGGAGCUUGACGGUACUGUAAGAAUAAGGACCGGCUAACUCCGUGCCAGCAGCCGCGGUAAUACGGAGGGUCCGAGCGUUAUCCGGAAUCAUUGGGUUUAAAAGGGUCCGUAGGCGGUUUAAUAAGUCAGUGGUGAAAUCUGGUCGCUCAACGAUCAAACGGCCAUUGAUACUGUUAGACUUGAAUUAUAAGGAAGUAACUAGAAUAUGUAGUGUAGCGGUGAAAUGCUUAGAUAUUACAUGGAAUACCAAUUGCGAAGGCAGGUUACUACUUAUGGAUUGACGCUGAUGGACGAAAGCGUGGGGAGCGAACAGGAUUAGAUACCCUGGUAGUCCACGCCGUAAACGAUGGAUACUAGCUGUUCGGAGCAAUCUGAGUGGCUAAGCGAAAGUGAUAAGUAUCCCACUGGGGAGUACGUUCGCAAGAAUGAAACUUAAAGGAUUGACCGGNNGAGAGAGACGAGACGACGACGAGGAGGAGG